This 738-nucleotide long non-coding RNA is filed under the name Brassica napus (rape). Its description in RNAcentral is "long non-coding RNA (BNAP_LNC004546)". The record is from RNAcentral. Lineage: Eukaryota; Viridiplantae; Streptophyta; Magnoliopsida; Brassicales; Brassicaceae.
UUUCAAAGGAUAACAAACGAUUGAUUACUGAACCUUUUCGUCGAUGAGUAGCAUCUCCAUGCCGAUGAGCGUCUUCUUCAGUGGGUUCCAAGCCUCCCAGAAAUGGAUGAGCCGAAACCGCAACUGGGCUUCGUGGUGACCCAGGGAGAGAUCCUUGAAGAACACAACUUUUUCAUCGUAGUCGGAGACAAUGGACUUCCCAUGUGGUUUCAUCGCCAUCGAUCGAGUUUCUAGAGUUUUGAUCCGUAAUCGGGGGAAAAAACAUUAUAUAAAGAAAGAGGAAAGGGGGUAGAUGAAACGAAACCAUAAAGUUAGAAUUGAUGGCGAAAUUGAUUGAAGAAACGGAUCGUGAAGAAAAUACACAGACGCUACGGAUUCAGAAGAGAAGAGGAAGAGAAAUGGGGAAGAGAAGAGAGAAUCGCGACUUGGCUUCGUAGAUUUAGGGUUAGGUAUACGCUACGGCUUAACGCGACUCGCGGUGAAGCCUCUCUUUUUAAAUCACAACAUUUGGUAAAUUGGUUUCAGCUUCUAUGUUUUAAAAAUAUUCAAUAAAUGAAACCAUCUUUCAACUUAUUCCACCCCCGUCUUGACAUACAUAUUUCAAGUGCUGCGUAUAAUAGUAUUAAAAAUUGUUAGGUGGUUAAACAAAUUAAAGAAACUGUGAUCUCAAACACUCAUCAACGGCUACUUGCAAAGAAAAACAAAAAACAUUAGAACAUAAUCCAUUUGUCCUGAUGU